ACCUGGCUGGCUCACUCAGAAGAGCGUGUGGCUCUUGAUCUCAGGGAUGUGAGUUCGAGCCCCACGUUGGGUG
This 73-nucleotide transfer RNA is filed under the name Ailuropoda melanoleuca (giant panda). It matches the Rfam family "tRNA". Rfam says of the family: Transfer RNA (tRNA) molecules are approximately 80 nucleotides in length. Their secondary structure includes four short double-helical elements and three loops (D, anti-codon, and T loops). Further hydrogen bonds mediate the characteristic L-shaped molecular structure. tRNAs have two regions of fundamental functional importance: the anti-codon, which is responsible for specific mRNA codon recognition, and the 3' end, to which the tRNAs corresponding amino acid is attached (by aminoacyl-tRNA synthetases). tRNAs cope with the degeneracy of the genetic code in two manners: having more than one tRNA (with a specific anti-codon) for a particular amino acid; and 'wobble' base-pairing, i.e. permitting non-standard base-pairing at the 3rd anti-codon position. Lineage: Eukaryota; Metazoa; Chordata; Mammalia; Carnivora; Ursidae. The record is from Rfam by way of RNAcentral.